GCUGUAGCUCAGUGGUAGAGUGCUUGCCUAGCAUGUGCAAGACCCUGGGUUCAAUCCACAGCACUGCA
This 68-nucleotide transfer RNA is filed under the name Marmota monax (woodchuck). Its description in RNAcentral is "tRNA.Ala". Lineage: Eukaryota; Metazoa; Chordata; Mammalia; Rodentia; Sciuridae. The record is from RNAcentral.